GAAAUGCGAUACGCAAUGCGAAUUGCAGAAUUCCGCGAGUCAUCAGAUCUUUGAACGCAGCCGGCGCUGGCGGGAUAUCCCACCAGCAUGUUUGUUUCAGUGUGUUUGGUUGACUUCACACAACCUAAUGCGAUUGAGGUUCUUUUACAAGGGCUUCUCUCGUGAAGGAGGAUAGCUUGCGGCUGAGUCCGCCAAUGAAGUGGUCACUGUUCAGCAGUGAUUUCAUUGGAGUCACGCGCUCAGUCUAUAAAAAACAAGCUUUUCAUCAGAAACUCUUCAAUCAGCACCUGAAAUCAAGCAAGAUCACCCGCUGAACUUAA
This 320-nucleotide unclassified non-coding RNA is filed under the name uncultured Ophiostomataceae. Its description in RNAcentral is "sequence contains ITS1". The stretch from base 1 to 105 matches the Rfam family "5.8S ribosomal RNA", at positions 50 to 154 of the family's 154-position model. The record is from RNAcentral. Lineage: Eukaryota; Fungi; Ascomycota; Sordariomycetes; Ophiostomatales.